GUCGAGGGGUAUUGUUCUUCGGAAUGAGAGACCGGCGCACGGGUGCGUAACGCGUAUGCAAUCUACCUUUUACAGAGGGAUAGCCCAGAGAAAUUUGGAUUAAUACCUCAUAGUAUGUGAGAAUGGCAUCAUUUUCACAUUAAAGUCACAACGGUAAAAGAUGAGCAUGCGUCCCAUUAGCUAGUUGGUAAGGUAACGGCUUACCAAGGCUACGAUGGGUAGGGGUCCUGAGAGGGAGAUCCCCCACACUGGUACUGAGACACGGACCAGACUCCUACGGGAGGCAGCAGUGAGGAAUAUUGGACAAUGGGCGCAAGCCUGAUCCAGCCAUGCCGCGUGCAGGAUGACGGUCCUAUGGAUUGUAAACUGCUUUUGCACAGGAAGAAACAACGCUACGUGUAGCGUCUUGACGGUACUGUGAGAAUAAGGAUCGGCUAACUCCGUGCCAGCAGCCGCGGUAAUACGGAGGAUCCAAGCGUUAUCCGGAAUCAUUGGGUUUAAAGGGUCCGUAGGCGGUUUGGUAAGUCAGUGGUGAAAGCCCAUCGCUCAACGGUGGAACGGCCAUUGAUACUGCCAGACUUGAAUUAUUAGGAAGUAACUAGAAUAUGUAGUGUAGCGGUGAAAUGCUUAGAGAUUACAUGGAAUACCAAUUGCGAAGGCAGGUUACUACUAAUGGAUUGACGCUGAUGGACGAAAGCGU
RNAcentral lists this ribosomal RNA (700 nucleotides) under uncultured Flavobacterium sp. RNAcentral describes it as "bacterial SSU rRNA". It matches the Rfam family "Bacterial small subunit ribosomal RNA", at positions 61 to 762 of the family's 1533-position model. The record is from RNAcentral. Lineage: Bacteria; Pseudomonadati; Bacteroidota; Flavobacteriia; Flavobacteriales; Flavobacteriaceae.